GAAAGUAAUAAAGGGCGUAUGGGGGAUGCCUAGGCUCUUGGAGGCGAAGAAAGACGUGGUAAGCUGCGAUAAGCCUCGGGGAUUUGCAAACGAGAAUUGAUCCGAGGAUUUCUGAAUGGGACAACCCGGCAGGCAGAAGGCCUGUCACACGAAAGUGGGCCAACCCUCUGAACUGAAACAUCUUAGUAGGAGGAGGAAAAGAAAGAAACAUCGAUUUCCUAAGUAGCGGCGAGCGAACGGGAAACAGCCUAAACCACAAUUGUUACGGCAACUGUGGGGUUGUAGGACUGCAAUAUUCAAAUGACUGUGAACUGGAAUGUUCUGGAAAGUUCAUCCAUAGAGAGUGAAAGACUCGUACAGGCAAGCACGUCAGGCGAUAGCAGUAUCCUGAGUAGGGCGGGACACGAGGAAUCCUGUCUGAAUCCGCCGGGACCACCCGGUAAGGCUAAAUACUCCCAAGAGACCGAUAGUGAACCAGUACCGUGAGGGAAAGGUGAAAAGAACCCCGAACAGGGGAGUGAAAUAGAACCUGAAACCAUACGCUUACAACCUGUCGGAGCGGCUUCGUGCCGUGACGGCGUGCCUAUUGAAUAAUGAGCCUACGAGUUACUAAUCACUGGCAAGGUUAAGUGCACGGAUGCACGGAGCCGAAGCGAAAGCGAGUCUGAAUAGGGCGUUUAGUCAGUGGUUGUAGACGCGAAACCUUGCGAUCUACCCUUGAGCAGGUUGAAGGUUGGGUAAAACCAACUGGAGGACCGAACGAAUAAGCGUUGAAAAGCUUCUCGAUGACUUGAGGGUAGGGGUGAAAGGCUAAUCAAGCUGGGAAAUAGCUCGUACUCCCCGAAAUGCCUUUUGGGGCAGCGUUGUAAUAAAGAGUCUACUGGAGGUAGAGCUACUGAUUGGAUGCGGGGGCUUCACCGCCUACCAAAUCCUGACAAACUCCGAAUGCCAGUAGUAUGAUUUACAGCAGUGAGUGACUGGGUGCUAAUGUCCAGUCGCAAAAGAGGAACAACUCAGACCAGCAACUAAGGUCCCGAAGAAUAUGCUAAGUUGAUCUAACGAUGUUUUGUUGCAGAGACAGCUAGGAUGUUAGCUUGGAAGCAGCUAUUCAUUCAAAGAGUGCGUAACAGCUCACUAGUCGAGCGACAGAGCGUGGAUAAUAAACGGGCAUCAAGCAUAUCACCGAAGUUCUGGGCGCGAGAGCGCGGUAGGGGAGCAUUCCAUUCAGCGUCGAAGCAGUUUCGUGAGGAAUUGUGGAGCGUAUGGAAAAGCAAAUGUAGGCAUGAGUAACGAUAAUGCGGGAGAGUAACCCGCACACCGCAAGACCAAGGUUUCCUGAUCAACGCUAAUCGGAUCAGGGUUAGUCGGGUCCUAAGGGUAAGCCGAACGGCGAUCUCGAUGGAUAAUCGGUUAAUAUUCCGAUACUAACAUAUACCUCGAUGGAGAGACGAAGGAACGUAAGUGCCGCCACCUGACGGAAUAGGUGGUUAAAGGGCGUAGGUAUAGGGGCAGAUUAAGAGUUAGUCCUUGCUGAAACCUGACAGUACAGAGAGCCUACGGGCAAUUUGAUAGAGCACCCAAGUCGACUUCCGAGAAAAUCUUCUAAGUUAUAGUAUAUGUUACCCGUACCGUAAACCGACACAGGUGGUCGAGGAGAGUAUCCUAAGGUGCUCGAGUGAAUCACGGUUAAGGAACUAGGCAAAUUAACCCCGUAACUUCGGGAAAAGGGGUCCCUAUGAAAGUAGGGCGCAGCGAAGAGGUCCAGGCGACUGUUUAUCAAAAACACAGGGCUCUGCAAAUUCGAAAGAAGACGUAUAGGGCCUGACACCUGCCCGGUGCUGGAAGGUUAAGAGGGGAUGUCAUCGCAAGAGAAGCAUUGAAUCGAAGCCCCAGUAAACGGCGGCCGUAACUAUAACGGUCCUAAGGUAGCGAAAUUCCUUGUCGGGUAAGUUCCGACCUG
This 1960-nucleotide ribosomal RNA is filed under the name human gut metagenome. Its description in RNAcentral is "bacterial LSU rRNA". It matches the Rfam family "Bacterial large subunit ribosomal RNA", at positions 1 to 1990 of the family's 2925-position model. The record is from RNAcentral.